RNAcentral lists this ribosomal RNA (238 nucleotides) under uncultured bacterium. RNAcentral describes it as "partial 16S ribosomal RNA". It matches the Rfam family "Bacterial small subunit ribosomal RNA", at positions 794 to 1031 of the family's 1533-position model. The record is from RNAcentral.
UCCACACCGUAAACGAUGAAUGCCAGUCGUCGGGCAGUAUACUGUUCGGUGACACACCUAACGGAUUAAGCAUUCCGCCUGGGGAGUACGGUCGCAAGAUUAAAACUCAAAGGAAUUGACGGGGGCCCGCACAAGCGGUGGAGCAUGUGGUUUUAAUUCGAAGCAACGCGCAGAACCUUACCAACCCUUGACAUGCCUGGACAAUCCGAGAGAUCGGACUUCCUUCGGUACCGACGUG